GACGUAGGGGGCCAGCGUUGCUCGGAAUUACUGGGCGUAAAGGGUUCGUAGGCGGUGUGGCAAGUCGGAAGUGAAAUCUCCAGGCUUAACUUGGAGGCUGCUUCCGAAACUGCCGUGCUAGAGUGCGGGAGAGGCCAGUGGAAUUGCAGGUGUAGCGGUGAAAUGCGUAGAGAUGUGGAGGAAUACCGAUGGCGAAGGCAGCCUCCUGGGAUAACACUGACGCUCAGGCACGAAAGCGUGGGGAGCAAACAGG
Molecule: ribosomal RNA, 253 nt
Filed under: uncultured bacterium
Lineage: Bacteria
Description: partial 16S ribosomal RNA
Rfam family: Bacterial small subunit ribosomal RNA
Source: RNAcentral